RNAcentral lists this ribosomal RNA (497 nucleotides) under uncultured bacterium. Its description in RNAcentral is "partial 16S ribosomal RNA". It matches the Rfam family "Bacterial small subunit ribosomal RNA", at positions 28 to 507 of the family's 1533-position model. The record is from RNAcentral.
GAUGAACGCUGGCGGCGUGCCUAAUACAUGCAAGUCGAGCGAACGGACGAGAAGCUUGCUUCUCUGAUGUUAGCGGCGGACGGGUGAGUAACACGUGGAUAACCUACCUAUAAGACUGGGAUAACUUCGGGAAACCGGAGCUAAUACCGGAUAAUAUUUUGAACCGCAUGGUUCAAAAGUGAAAGACGGUCUUGCUGUCACUUAUAGAUGGAUCCGCGCUGCAUUAGCUAGUUGGUAAGGUAACGGCUUACCAAGGCAACGAUGCAUAGCCGACCUGAGAGGGUGAUCGGCCACACUGGAACUGAGACACGGUCCAGACUCCUUCGGGAGGCAGCAGUAGGGAAUCGUCCGCAAUGGGCGAGAGCCUGACGGAGCAACGCCGCGUGAGUGAUGAAGGUCUUCGGAUCGUAAAACUCUGUUAUUAGGGAAGAACAUAUGUGUAAGUAACUGUGCACAUCUUGACGGUACCUAAUCAGAAAGCCACGGCUAACUACGUG